AUACGGAGGGUGCAAGCGUUGUCCGGAUUUAUUGGGUUUAAAGGGUGCGUAGGUGGUUUUUUAAGUCAGUGGUGAAAGCCUACAGCUUAACUGUAGAGGUGCCAUUGAUACUGGGGAACUUGAGUAUGGACGAGGUAGGCGGAAUUUGUGGUGUAGCGGUGAAAUGCAUAGAUACCACAAGGAACACCGAUAGCGAAGGCAGCUUACUGGGCCAUAACUGACACUGUGGCACGAAAGCGUGGGGAGCGAACAGGAUUAGAUACCCUAGUAGUCC
Molecule: ribosomal RNA, 274 nt
Filed under: uncultured bacterium
Lineage: Bacteria
Description: partial 16S ribosomal RNA
Rfam family: Bacterial small subunit ribosomal RNA
Source: RNAcentral